RNAcentral lists this ribosomal RNA (160 nucleotides) under uncultured archaeon. RNAcentral describes it as "partial 16S ribosomal RNA". It matches the Rfam family "Archaeal small subunit ribosomal RNA", at positions 880 to 1039 of the family's 1478-position model. The record is from RNAcentral.
CACAAGGGGUGAAGCCUGCGGUUCAAUUGGAGUCAACGCCGGAAAUCUUACCGGGGGCGACAGCAGAGUGAAGGUCAAGCUGAAGACUUUACCAGACAAGCUGAGAGGAGGUGCAUGGCCGUCGCCAGCUCGUGCCGUGAGGUGUCCUGUUAAGUCAGGU